Molecule: transfer RNA, 76 nt
Filed under: Chthoniobacter flavus Ellin428
Lineage: Bacteria; Pseudomonadati; Verrucomicrobiota; Spartobacteria; Chthoniobacterales; Chthoniobacteraceae
Also listed under: 6 other names
Description: tRNA-Ala
Rfam family: tRNA
About the family: Transfer RNA (tRNA) molecules are approximately 80 nucleotides in length. Their secondary structure includes four short double-helical elements and three loops (D, anti-codon, and T loops).
Source: RNAcentral
GGGGGUAUAGCUCAGUUGGUAGAGCGUCUCGUUCGCAAUGAGAAGGCCAGGGGUUCGAAUCCCCUUACCUCCACCA